CAAACACUGUUUCUCAUAUGAUCACUAAAGUCAAGCAACAUCGAGCCUGAGCAGUACCUAGAUGGGUGACCACUUUAGAAUACCAGAUGCUGUAAG
This is a non-coding RNA of Acanthosepion pharaonis, 96 nucleotides long. NCBI's taxonomy places the organism in Eukaryota, Metazoa, Mollusca, Cephalopoda, Sepiida, Sepiidae. The record is from the annotation of a GenBank genome assembly.